RNAcentral lists this ribosomal RNA (253 nucleotides) under uncultured bacterium. Its description in RNAcentral is "partial 16S ribosomal RNA". It matches the Rfam family "Bacterial small subunit ribosomal RNA", at positions 524 to 776 of the family's 1533-position model. The record is from RNAcentral.
UACGAAGGGGGCUAGCGUUGCUCGGAAUCACUGGGCGUAAAGGGUGCGUAGGCGGGGCUUUAAGUCAGGGGUGAAAUCCUGGAGCUCAACUCCAGAACUGCCUUUGAUACUGAAGAUCUUGAGUCCGGAAGAGGUGAGUGGAACUGCGAGUGUAGAGGUGAAAUUCGUAGAUAUUCGCAAGAACACCAGUGGCGAAGGCGGCUCACUGGUCCGGUACUGACGCUGAGGCACGAAAGCGUGGGGAGCAAACAGG